AUUGAACGCUGGCGGCAGGCUUAACACAUGCAAGUCGAACGGUAGCAGGAGAAAGCUUGCUUUCUUGCUGACGAGUGGCGGACGGGUGAGUAAUGCUUGGGAAUCUGGCUUAUGGAGGGGGAUAACUACGGGAAACUGUAGCUAAUACCGCGUAAUAUCUUCGGAUUAAAGAAUGGGACUUUUAGCCAUUCGCCAUAAGAUGAGCCCAAGUGGGAUUAGGUAGUUGGUGGGGUAAAGGCCUACCAAGCCGACGAUCUCUAGCUGGUCUGAGAGGAUGACCAGCCACACUGGAACUGAGACACGGUCCAGACUCCUACGGGAGGCAGCAGUGGGGAAUAUUGCGCAAAGGGGGCAACCCUGACGCAGCCAUGCCGCGUGAAUGAAGAAGGCCUUCGGGUUGUAAAGUUCUUUCGGUGGUGUGGAAGGCUAAUAUGUUAAUAGCAUAUUAGAUUGACGUUAGCCACAGAAGAAGCACCGGCUAACUCCGUG
This 489-nucleotide ribosomal RNA is filed under the name uncultured bacterium. RNAcentral's name for it is "partial 16S ribosomal RNA". It matches the Rfam family "Bacterial small subunit ribosomal RNA", at positions 30 to 507 of the family's 1533-position model. The record is from RNAcentral.